RNAcentral lists this ribosomal RNA (776 nucleotides) under uncultured Neocallimastigales. RNAcentral describes it as "partial large subunit ribosomal RNA". It matches the Rfam family "Eukaryotic large subunit ribosomal RNA", at positions 24 to 618 of the family's 3401-position model. Lineage: Eukaryota; Fungi; Neocallimastigomycota; Neocallimastigomycetes; Neocallimastigales. The record is from RNAcentral.
UAUGUGAUCGUCUCUCGCAUAUCAAUAAGCGGAGGAAAAGAAACUAACAAGGAUUCCCCUAGUAACGGCGAGUGAAGCGGGAAGAGCUCAAAUUUGAAAUCUUAAAGGGUUUCCCUUUACGAAUUGUAGUUUAAAGAAGUGUUUUCUGUUGAGGUUUUGGUAAAAGUUCUUUGGAAUAGGACAUCAUAGAGGGUGAGAAUCCCGUAUUUGACCUUUACUUUCAACUUUGUGAUACACUUUCAAAGAGUCGGAUUGUUUGGGAAUGCAGUCCAAAAUGGGUGGUAAAUUUCAUCUAAAGCUAAAUAUUGGCGAGAGACCGAUAGCGAACAAGUACCGUGAGGGAAAGAUGAAAAGAACUUUGAAAAGAGAGUUAAACAGUACGUGAAAUUGUCAAAAGGGAAGCGUUUGACACCAGUGUUGUUUUUCUGAAAAUCAAUUAAAGAACUGUUUAUGCUAAGCUGUUUAGACUUUAUCAGCUAUCUGUUUAGUUUUGAGCUUUUCUUUAAUGCACUUUUCAGUUAACAAGUCAACAUCAAUUUCUUUUGCUGUAAAAAAGCUUGAGGAAGGUGGCUUGAGAUUCGUCUUAAGUGUUUAUAGCCUCUUGCCUAUGCAGUCGGAUGAGAUUGAGGUCUGCAGCGUAGAUCCUUCGGGGCUAAAUGCAUUUGUGCUAAGUUAUAGCAUUUUAUAGACAACUUGUUGACUAUGAUUUGUCUUGUAGCUUACUCGCUUAUGUUAUUUUACCUACGCUUAGGAUGUUGAGCUGCAUGUCUCUCUCU